RNAcentral lists this long non-coding RNA (949 nucleotides) under Medicago truncatula (barrel medic). RNAcentral describes it as "lncRNA gene18492". The record is from RNAcentral. Lineage: Eukaryota; Viridiplantae; Streptophyta; Magnoliopsida; Fabales; Fabaceae.
GUAAACCAGAUGUUUACAAAUCAUGUUUCAAAAUGUCUACUCUUGAGUGUAUUAAACAAUCCCUGAAGGAUUGCUUAAAUAAUGAUUCAUUUUGAUCAUAUAUAUUUCCCGAAGAACUACAAGAUCAAUGAAGGCUCUUAAAGAGCUGUAAUAUUGUUACAUGAAGGAACAAAGUUACACAUUGAGAUUGAAUUAUAUUAAUCUAAGUCUCAUAAAAAUUCAUUGAGUUUUAAAAUAGCCAUCUAAAUGGAUAUCAUACUAAAAAAAAUGGAGAUAUUAAAUAUCUCUAUAUCUGAAGAAAAUAAGUGUAGUGGAAAAGUUAUUUUUAUCUUUGAUUUGACAGCGCUUAUAUAUUAUCCCGGAUCUAUUAUGAUGCAAAAACUAGAUAAUAAAAAAAAUGGAGAUUAUUAUGUCAACAAAUUUGACCAAGAGUUUAUUUUCUAAACUUUUCAGAAAUCAUUUGAUAAAUAUCAUUUGUCAAUUGAUAUUGAACAACUAGUAGCAUAUGCUCAUAAAAAUGGACUUGAAGAUCCAUUAUUUAGACGUCUAAUGUUAAUUGUAUAAUUGAUACUUAUCAUAUCAUGUCUUAUAAACUCUAGUUUGGUUAUGAGACCAUGUCUUAUAAACUCUAUUUUGAAAAUCAAUAAUCUUGUUGAGAUAUUGAUCUGCAUCAAGCCAACAAAUUACUAUAUAUAAGUCCCCCCUUAAUCUAUCAUUGGUUUCAGGUUAACAACCUAAUAUUUCUCAUCCAAGUGAAAUUUGGAUGUGUUGUGUAUAUCACAAUUGCUCCAAUAUAAUGCACUAAGAUAAAUAUUGAAAGAAUAUUGGAAAAAUAUAUUUGAUAUGAAUCUCCAUCUAUCAUUAAUUGUGCUGAUUCAACUUAUUUACAGUCCAGUAGGCUGAUUAUCAAUUGAUGGAUUAUUUUUUCCAAGGGGAUAUAAUAAGCAGC